UACAGAGGGGGCAAGCGUUGUUCGGAAUUACUGGGCGUAAAGGGCGCGUAGGCGGCCUGCUAAGUCGAACGUGAAAUCCCUGGGCUCAACCCAGGAACUGCGUCCGAUACUGGUUGGCUUGAAUCCGGGAGAGGGAUGUGGAAUUCCAGGUGUAGCGGUGAAAUGCGUAGAUAUCUGGAGGAACACCGGUGGCGAAGGCGGCAUCCUGGACCGGCAUUGACGCUGAGGAGCGAAAGCCAGGGGAGCAAACGGG
Molecule: ribosomal RNA, 253 nt
Filed under: uncultured bacterium
Lineage: Bacteria
Description: partial 16S ribosomal RNA
Rfam family: Bacterial small subunit ribosomal RNA
Source: RNAcentral